AGUAACGGAGGCGCGCGAUGGUGGGCUCAGAGCGGUCGGAAAUCGCUCGUUGAGUGCAAUGGCAGAAGCCAGCCUGACUGCGAGACUGACAAGUCGAGCAGAGUCGAAAGACGGCCAUAGUGAUCCGGUGGUCCCAAGUGGGAGGGCCAUCGCUCAACGGAUAAAAGGUACUCCGGGGAUAACAGGCUGAUGAUGCCCAAGAGUCCAUAUCGACGGCACCGUUUGGCACCUCGAUGUCGGCUC
This 243-nucleotide ribosomal RNA is filed under the name Scrippsiella trochoidea. RNAcentral describes it as "partial Bacterial large subunit ribosomal RNA". It matches the Rfam family "Bacterial large subunit ribosomal RNA", at positions 2296 to 2538 of the family's 2925-position model. The record is from RNAcentral. Lineage: Eukaryota; Dinophyceae; Peridiniales; Peridiniaceae.